RNAcentral lists this ribosomal RNA (296 nucleotides) under uncultured bacterium. RNAcentral's name for it is "partial 16S ribosomal RNA". It matches the Rfam family "Bacterial small subunit ribosomal RNA", at positions 335 to 649 of the family's 1533-position model. The record is from RNAcentral.
UGCCUACGGGGGGCAGCAGUGGGGAAUAUUGCACAAUGGGGGAAACCCUGAUGCAGCGACGCCGCGUGAGCGAUGAAGUAUUUCGGUAUGUAAAGCUCUAUCAGCAGGGAAGAAAAUGACGGUACCUGACUAAGAAGCCCCGGCUAACUACGUGCCAGCAGCCGCGGUAAUACGUAGGGGGCAAGCGUUAUCCGGAUUUACUGGGUGUAAAGGGAGCGUAGACGGCUUGGCAAGCCAGAUGUGAAAUACCGGGGCUCAACCCCGGGACUGCAUUUGGAACUGUUAAGCUGGAGUGU